Molecule: ribosomal RNA, 441 nt
Filed under: uncultured bacterium
Lineage: Bacteria
Description: partial 16S ribosomal RNA
Rfam family: Bacterial small subunit ribosomal RNA
Source: RNAcentral
CCUACGGGUGGCAGCAGUGGGGAAUAUUGCACAAUGGGGGAAACCCUGAUGCAGCGACGCCGCGUGAGUGAAGAAGUAUUUCGGUAUGUAAAGCCCUAUCAGCAGGGAAGAAGAAAGACGGUACCUGACUAAGAAGCCCCGGCUAACUACGUGCCAGCAGCCGCGGUAAUACGUAGGGGGCAAGCGUUAUCCGGAUUUACUGGGUGUAAAGGGAGCGUAGACGGCUGUGCAAGUCUGCAGUUAAAGCCCAGGGCCCAACCCUGGGACUGCUUUUGAAACUGCGGAGCUAGAGUGCAGGAGAGGUAGGCGGAAUUCCUGGUGUAGCGGUGAAAUGCGUAGAUAUUAGGAGGAACACCAGUGGCGAAGGCGGCCUGCUGGACUGUGACUGACGUUGAGGCUCGAAAGCGUGGGGAGCAAACAGGAUUAGAUACCCCAGUAGUC